GAUGAACGCUGGCGGCGUGCUUAACACAUGCAAGUCGAACGAAGCACUUUAACCUGAUUCUUCGGAUGAAGGUUUUUGUGACUGAGUGGCGGACGGGUGAGUAACGCGUGGGUAACCUGCCUCAUACAGGGGGAUAACAGUUAGAAAUGACUGCUAAUACCGCAUAAGACCACAGAGCCGCAUGGCUCGGUGGGAAAAACUCCGGUGGUAUGAGAUGGACCCGCGUCUGAUUAGGUAGUUGGUGGGGUAACGGCCUACCAAGCCAACGAUCAGUAGCCGACCUGAGAGGGUGACCGGCCACAUUGGGACUGAGACACGGCCCAAACUCCUACGGGAGGCAGCAGUGGGGAAUAUUGCACAAUGGGGGAAACCCUGAUGCAGCGACGCCGCGUGAGCGAAGAAGUAUUUCGGUAUGUAAAGCUCUAUCAGCAGGGAAGAAAAUGACGGUACCUGAAUAAGAAGCACCGGCUAAAUACGUG
This 479-nucleotide ribosomal RNA is filed under the name uncultured bacterium. RNAcentral's name for it is "partial 16S ribosomal RNA". It matches the Rfam family "Bacterial small subunit ribosomal RNA", at positions 28 to 507 of the family's 1533-position model. The record is from RNAcentral.